RNAcentral lists this ribosomal RNA (407 nucleotides) under uncultured bacterium. Its description in RNAcentral is "partial 16S ribosomal RNA". It matches the Rfam family "Bacterial small subunit ribosomal RNA", at positions 30 to 526 of the family's 1533-position model. The record is from RNAcentral.
AUUGAACGCUGGCGGCAGGCCUAACACAUGCAAGUCGAGCGGAGCGGCUGACGGGUGAGUAAUGACUAGGAGUCUGCCUGGUCGUGGGGGAUAGCGUCCGGAAACGGGCGCUAAUCCCGCAUCCUAUCAGAUGCGCCUAGGGCGGAGUAGCUAGUUGGUGGGGUAAAGGCCUACCAAGGCGACGAUCCGUAACUGGUCUGAGAGGAUGAUCAGUCACACGGGAACUGAGACACGGUCCAGACUCCUACGGGAGGCAGCAGUGGGGAAUAUUGGACAAUGGGCGAAAGCCUGAUCCAGCCAUGCCGCGUGUGGGAAGAAGGUCUUCGGAUUGUAAAGUACUUUAAGUUGGGAGGCGUUACCAACAGAAGAAGCACCGGCUAACUCCGUGCCAGCCGCCGCGGUAAUAC